This 803-nucleotide ribosomal RNA is filed under the name Psychrobacter sp. JB385. RNAcentral's name for it is "bacterial SSU rRNA". It matches the Rfam family "Bacterial small subunit ribosomal RNA", at positions 77 to 878 of the family's 1533-position model. The record is from RNAcentral. Lineage: Bacteria; Pseudomonadati; Pseudomonadota; Gammaproteobacteria; Moraxellales; Moraxellaceae.
CUUGCUAGAAGAUGACGAGCGGCGGACGGGUGAGUAAUACUUAGGAAUCUACCUAGUAGUGGGGGAUAGCUCGGGGAAACUCGAAUUAAUACCGCAUACGACCUACGGGAGAAAGGGGGCAACUUGUUGCUCUCGCUAUUAGAUGAGCCUAAGUCGGAUUAGCUAGAUGGUGGGGUAAAGGCCUACCAUGGCGACGAUCUGUAGCUGGUCUGAGAGGAUGAUCAGCCACACCGGGACUGAGACACGGCCCGGACUCCUACGGGAGGCAGCAGUGGGGAAUAUUGGACAAUGGGGGAAACCCUGAUCCAGCCAUGCCGCGUGUGUGAAGAAGGCCUUUUGGUUGUAAAGCACUUUAAGCAGUGAAGAAGACUCUUCGGUUAAUACCCGGAGACGAUGACAUUAGCUGCAGAAUAAGCACCGGCUAACUCUGUGCCAGCAGCCGCGGUAAUACAGAGGGUGCAAGCGUUAAUCGGAAUUACUGGGCGUAAAGCGAGCGUAGGUGGCUUGAUAAGUCAGAUGUGAAAUCCCCGGGCUUAACCUGGGAACUGCAUCUGAUACUGUCAGGCUAGAGUAGGUGAGAGGAAGGUAGAAUUCCAGGUGUAGCGGUGAAAUGCGUAGAGAUCUGGAGGAAUACCGAUGGCGAAGGCAGCCUUCUGGCAUCAUACUGACACUGAGGCUCGAAAGCGUGGGUAGCAAACAGGAUUAGAUACCCUGGUAGUCCACGCCGUAAACGAUGUCUACUAGUCGUUGGGUCCCUUGAGGACUUAGUGACGCAGCUAACGCAAUAAGUAGACCGCCUGGGG